UACGGAGGGUGCAAGCGUUAAUCGGAAUCACUGGGCGUAAAGCGCGCGUAGGUGGCUAUUUAAGUCAGAUGUGAAAUCCCUGGGCUCAACCUGGGAAUGGCAUUUGAUACUGGAUAGCUAGAGUAUGGUAGAGGUGAGUGGAAUUUCAGGUGUAGCGGUGAAAUGCGUAGAGAUCUGAAGGAACAUCAGUGGCGAAGGCGACUCACUGGGCCAUUACUGACACUGAGGUGCGAAAGCGUGGGUAGCAAACAGG
RNAcentral lists this ribosomal RNA (253 nucleotides) under uncultured bacterium. RNAcentral describes it as "partial 16S ribosomal RNA". It matches the Rfam family "Bacterial small subunit ribosomal RNA", at positions 524 to 776 of the family's 1533-position model. The record is from RNAcentral.